Molecule: unclassified non-coding RNA, 248 nt
Filed under: uncultured fungus
Lineage: Eukaryota; Fungi
Description: sequence contains ITS1
Source: RNAcentral
UGGCCCCCUGGAUCAUCGGGAGACUCGGCCCACACAACGCUCUCGGCGGGGGGCUACUCGUCCAGUCCGUGACACUGGCGACCUGGGCCGUCGUCGGCGAUGCCAGUGGGCCUAUCGCCGCAACUCUGAUCGCGCCCACCGUCCCGUGGGCUCUCGGGAUGGGCGUCUCGAUCGUCAGUUCCUUCGUCAUCUGCACCAGCGGAGUCCCAAGGCCCGUUGCUGGCGCCGCGUCCGGCCUGGCCACCGCG